AUGGAGCAGGCCCUCCGCGACCACGCGCCGGCCAGGGCGGCGGGGCGCAGGCCGACGCGGUUCACGGCUCUGGAGCUCGCGGCGGCCGAGCAGCUCCUCCACCUCAGCGAGAGCAGCUGCUCCUCGGGCGCCGCCUUCACGCCGCUAGGAUCGAGGACCGCCGCGUCGGCGGCCUGCUCCUCCUCCUCGCCUCCCUCCGUCAACGCUCCGCCUGCCGCAACCGCGCGCGACCCCGUCGUCGGCCUCGGCGCGGAUCACGAGGAGGAGGACGACGAGCAGGAGGUGGGCGGGAGGCCGCGCGUGAGCAGGAGGUACCGCUCGGUAGCGGAGUUGUACGACGCUACGGAUCCGGCUGGAGCGCGCCGGAGAAAGGGCAAGGCCGUCGCCGGCGGCACAACGGAGGAGAGGAGGAAGUAG
RNAcentral lists this ribosomal RNA (417 nucleotides) under Triticum aestivum (bread wheat). RNAcentral describes it as "partial small subunit ribosomal RNA". The record is from RNAcentral. Lineage: Eukaryota; Viridiplantae; Streptophyta; Magnoliopsida; Poales; Poaceae.